This 695-nucleotide ribosomal RNA is filed under the name uncultured archaeon. Its description in RNAcentral is "bacterial SSU rRNA". It matches the Rfam family "Archaeal small subunit ribosomal RNA", at positions 235 to 929 of the family's 1478-position model. The record is from RNAcentral.
GGUGGUGUAAAGGACCACCAAGCCUACGACGGGUACGGGCCCUGAGAGGGGGAGCCCGGAGAUGGACUCUGAGACACGAGUCCAGGCCCUACGGGGCGCAGCAGGCGCGAAACCUUCGCAAUGCGCGAAAGCGCGACGAGGGGAGCCCGAGUGCCCUUCCUUUUGGGAGGGCUUUUCCGGAGUGUAAAAAGCUCCGGGAAUAAGGGCUGGGCAAGGCCGGUGGCAGCCGCCGCGGUAAUACCGGCGGCCCGAGUGGUGGCCGCUAUUAUUGGGCCUAAAGCGUCCGUAGUCGGGCCCGUAAGUCCCUGGCGAAAUCCCACGGCUCAACCGUGGGGCUUGCUGGGGAUACUGCGGGUCUUGGGACCGGGAGAGGCGGGGGGUACCCCUGGGGUAGGGGUGAAAUCCUAUAAUCCCAGGGGGACCGCCAGUGGCGAAGGCGCCCCGCUGGAACGGGUCCGACGGUGAGGGACGAAGGCCAGGGGAGCAAACCGGAUUAGAUACCCGGGUAGUCCUGGCUGUAAAGGAUGCGGGCUAGGUGUCGGGUGAGCUUCGAGCUCGCCCGGUGCCGUAGGGAAGCCGUUAAGCCCGCCGCCUGGGGGAGUACGGCCGCAAGGCUGAAACUUAAAGGAAUUGGCGGGGGAGCACUACAAGGGGUGGAGCGUGCGGUUUAAUUGGAUUCAACGCCGGAAACCUUA